GGAUAAGCGGAAGAAAUUCCGUCUAAUACCGCGUAACACCGCGGAGGGGCAUCCCUCGGCGGUUAAAGAUUCAUCGGCUGCGGAUGGCCAUGCGGCGCAUUAGCUAGUCGGCGGGGUAACGGCCCACCGAGGCGACGAUGCGUAGGGGUUCUGAGAGGAAGGUCCCCCACACUGGUACUGAGACACGGACCAGACUCCUACGGGAGGCAGCAGUGAGGAAUAUUGGUCAAUGGCCGGGAGGCUGAACCAGCCAAGUCGCGUGAGGGAAGACGGCCCUACGGGUUGUAAACCUCUUUUGUCAGGGAGCAAGAGGCGGGUCGAGACCUGCUGUGAGAGUACCUGAAGAAAAAGCAUCGGCUAACUCCGUGCCAGCAGCCGCGGUAAUACGGAGGAUGCGAGCGUUAUCCGGAUUUAUUGGGUUUAAAGGGUGCGCAGGCGGAGGCACAAGUCAGCGGUAAAAUCGCGGGGCUCAACCCCGCUCCGCCGUUGAAACUGUGUCCCUUGAGUGCGCGAAGGGUAGGCGGAAUGCGUGGUGUAGCGGUGAAAUGCAUAGAUAUCACGCAGAACUCCGAUCGCGAAGGCAGCCUACCGGCGCGCAACUGACGCUCAUGCACGAAAGCGUGGGUAUCGAACAGGAUUAGAUACCCUGGUAGUCCACGCAGUAAACGAUGAAUGCUAUCUGUCCGGCCGGAAUGACGGCUGGGU
RNAcentral lists this ribosomal RNA (705 nucleotides) under uncultured bacterium. RNAcentral describes it as "bacterial SSU rRNA". It matches the Rfam family "Bacterial small subunit ribosomal RNA", at positions 141 to 844 of the family's 1533-position model. The record is from RNAcentral.